This 637-nucleotide ribosomal RNA is filed under the name uncultured bacterium. RNAcentral describes it as "bacterial SSU rRNA". It matches the Rfam family "Bacterial small subunit ribosomal RNA", at positions 607 to 1244 of the family's 1533-position model. The record is from RNAcentral.
GCUCAACCGAGGAAGUGCUUCGAAAACUGGUAAACUUGAGUGCAGAAGAGGAAAGUGGAACUCCAUGUGUAGCGGUGGAAUGCGUAGAUAUAUGGAAGAACACCAGUGGCGAAGGCGGCUUUCUGGUCUGUAACUGACGCUGAGAUUCGAAAGCAUGGGUAGCAAACAGGAUUAGAUACCCUGGUAGUCCAUGCCGUAAACGAUGAGUGCUAAGUGUUGGAGGGUUUCCGCCCUUCAGCGCUGCAGCUAACGCAUUAAGCACUCCGCCUGGGGAGUACGAUCGCAAGAUUGAAACUCAAAGGAAUUGACGGGGGCCCGCACAAGCGGUGGAGCAUGUGGUUUAAUUCGAAGCAACGCGAAGAACCUUACCAGGUCUUGACAUACCAUGGGAAGCUAAGAGAUUAGUCUUUCCCUUCGGGGACAUGGAUACAGGUGGUGCAUGGUUGUCGUCAGCUCGUGUCGUGAGAUGUUGGGUUAAGUCCCGCAACGAGCGCAACCCUUAUUAUCAGUUGCCAGCAUUCAGUUGGGCACUCUGGUGAGACUGCCGGUGACAAACCGGAGGAAGGUAGGGACGACGUCAAAUCAUCAUGCCCCUUAUGACCUGGGCUACACACGUGCUACAAUGGUCGGUACAACG